Cyprinus carpio (common carp) is the source of this 1418-nucleotide long non-coding RNA. RefSeq lists it as uncharacterized. The record is from RefSeq and is a predicted model, not a curated record. Lineage: Eukaryota; Metazoa; Chordata; Actinopteri; Cypriniformes; Cyprinidae. The transcript has 3 exons.
UUAAAGGGUUCAACUCAUCAGGGCAAAUUGAGUGUUCACCCUGAAAUGACUGAGCACAUUCAACAGCAAAUUACUUCACCUGGUGUCGGCAAUGAGCAUUGAUUCGCUCUGGCUGACCAGAGUUCUGUAACAAUGCAUUUCCUCAGUCUUAAACCAGACCAAACAAUCAAAGUGGUAAUCAUGAUACUUUGCGAGAGGGGAUAUUUCAAGUAAAGUUUCAAGACAAUCCUCAGCCAAUUCAAGUGACCAGAGAAGACCUCACAGAAGAUCACAGAAGACCUCAGCAACCAGUAAAUAAUGCCCUAGAAACCACUGAGAACAACAUAGCAAUGCAUGUAAAACAUGUUACAUUUAUAGUUUUAUGUUGUUUUAUGUUGUUAAAGGCAACCUUGAUUUUGCCCAUACUACAGGGAAUGUUGAAUCCAGCACAAGAGGGCAGCAUUCAAACCACAGCCGCUUUAGCCAGGAUCUCCACCUGAAACAACAACCAUAAAAACAGCAGCCAGUCUGUAGGUUUCACUCUCUCUCCAUGGCUUCAUGUGGAGUUGUGGAGGCAUACGACCAGAACUUGCUCUCUUUACCUCAGACUUCACACUGCAGCCUACCACUGAUUCACAUCACAGAACACAGCUCAGGCUUGCCUGGCCACUGACGAUGUUGUCCAGCACUACAGCAGGGAAUCCCUUUUGAUGUGGUCUUAAGACGUUUCCAUUUCUUCCGGGGAAAACUGGCAAGGCCUUGUAAUUUAGGAGGAGCCCUGGCAAAAGUUUCAGAGAUGCCUUUUGGCUAAAAAAUCAAUUAGAAAUGGCUAAGUUUUGUAAAAUAUCUGAACACAUUGUUUAAAGUCAUAACUGACCAAAUUUACUUCCUUAGUAAUAAUAUUAAAGAACAAAAUAAACCAGCAUACAGCUCAUUUAAGACUUUUUGAAAGACUGACAAUGCUAAAAUGUAACCAUCAAGAUGACAUCAUGGUUAUAUUUCCAUAAUGAAUUCUGAUUAGUUAUUUAUUUAUUUAUUUAUUUAUUUUUUUCUGUUUGCAUACUGAACUGUGAUGGGUCUCUUCAGUUUUGCAUCUAUUCAGCCUUCUUGACACUGCAUAUAGGAUGUGUUUUUUGACCUUUAACCCCACCAGGCCAUUUUCAUUUCCCACCAACUGUUAAGCAAAAUAGGCAGGUCCUGGUGAAAUGUAACCAAUAAAAUGACACCGUGGUUAUAUUUGCAUAGUGAAUUCCAAUUGGUAUUUUUCCUUGCACCUAUUGGCAUACUGAAUUGUGAUUGGUCUUGUGGGUUUUGCAUCUAUUCAUAAAGCCUUCUUGCCACUGCAAAACAGUGUUGUGUAUGACAUAACCUGAAAACUUUACAUGUCCCCUCAGAGGAAUUUCUGUCUUUCCAAUAACAUUUAGCUAUAUGAAAAAUUU